CUCCCUAAAAGUCACCAGCUUGCUUGUGACUGUGGUAAUUUUCCCAUCCUUCAAUUAGUUUUUUCUCAAGUACUGGAACUUGAGUGAAUUGAAAAUGGAGAGUUUUGAAUGAGAUUCUAAAACCUCCUGAUUAUGUUGCAAACUUUCUUAAUGCUAAAGCAAUGACUAGGCUGAAGCUGCUUACCUCUCAAGGAUCGGUGUGAAUUUAUGAGGGAGGAGUUAAGAAAGGCACCUCGUUUUAUCAACAUCAUCCACCCAACGGUGGCCAGAGGCACAGCUGUCAUUGAACAAGACUGAAAAUCGAGGGGUGUCUGGAAGCCAGCGGAGGAGAGAGCCCUGCGGUGUGUAGCUGCCUAUACCUUGUCAAACAGGCUUCCUCCAAUCAUGAGCCUUAUUGUUACUGACGUCAGUUGAUGCUAUAAUUGGAUAUGGAGAUGGAGAGUGCGCAGAUGCAAUAGGGAUUGAAGCGUUCUGAGCCCAUGAAGAUGUCAAAAAAUAAAAAGAUAAAUACUGGCAAAAUAAAAGAGAGAGAAACAUUGAUGUGAGAGAGACAUAUGGAUUGGUUGCCUCCUGACCGGGGCAAGGGAUCAAAUCUGAAACUCAGGGAAUCUGUCCUAAGAGCGUUUCUCCUUGUCGUCUCUCAGUGAUGACGGGUCUGAGGCUUCUACCUCUCACCCAUGGGGUUGAGCUUCAGGCUACAAAAGUGCUCAGACACAGAUGGUAUUCUCUCCUCAGCAACAGGGUCCUGUCAUCCCUGCUGCAGUCACCUGACCCCUUUUGACGUCGCCCUGUGCAAGGAACAGAGGCAGCUGGCACCUGGGACUAGACUUACUUUCAUUGUCUAUGUUUCAUCUGCAUAUUAGUCUUCCUCCUCCUCCUCCUCCUGUGCUUAAAGUCAGGGGCCCACAUGAACUCCGGCCUGUGGUUGUGCCAGCGAGCACCCAGAUGCGGGAACCAGAUGUACAACCCCACGGAGAAAUGCUGUGAUCAUGACACCAUCCUGCCCUUCAACCGGACCAACCUCUGUGGCCUCGGCUGCAGGUUCUGGCCCUGCUUUGAGCUCUGCUGUCCCGAGUCCUUUGGCCCCCAGAAGAGAUUUGUUGUGAGACUGAAGGUUCUAGGCAUGAAGUCACAGUGCCUUACCUCUCCCAUCUCCAGAUUCUGUCCCACUGUAUGAGGGACAACCUGGACAUCCUAUUGGAACCUUGGAACAUCUGGCUAAAAGCACGCACCCUAACAUAUGAGAAGAAAUGGGUGGGUGGUAUGGUUUUCAAAUGAUAAAACCGUGUCCUAGAUUCUGGUGAGGUUAGAUGUGUUCUUUCUGAAUUUCCUGUGGCAACUUGCUGAGCAAUGAUUACACAGGAACUUCUCUCUGCUCCUAAAGCCCCCCUGCCCACAGCAAUCAGUGUGUCCUCAGUCAGCCUAAGUGUCCUCUCUCUCCUCUGCGUCAGGAUUCUUCUCUCUUCAAGGGGACAAGGAGUGAGGCUGGGGAGGUGGAUAUUCCUCCCUGUGGGGGAGAGGACCCAGCCCCAGAGCCACCUCGUGGUUCCUGCACCUGCAGCUCCUGUGGGAGGUGGGGAGGAUGGAAGCUGCCCGGAGGAGCGGGAGCAUUGCUGGGUUAAAUGAUAAACAUCUAAAUAUUUUUAAAUAGUAUACAAUACUCAAACAUUGAUUGCUAGACACAAUUUAAUUCGCCUGCUCUUAGUUUUUAUUACAGAAGGUCUCUUGUACUUUGUUGAAUGUAUAUUUUCUUGAAAGGAAGUGUGUUGUUAAAUGUCAAUCUAAGAAAUGUUGGCUGUUUACUUUUUGGUUAUCAUUGAAAAAUUAAGGUUUCUAAGAGUGAAGAAUCCUAAUAUAUUUUAAGGAAAAAAGAAAUAAAAGGUCUGUACAAGUUGCUGAAGGUGUGACAGAAAGAAAGAAUAUUAGAGUAGAAAUACUUAAUGGAAGGUCUGAGGCAUGGUUAUGCAUUUUUGAAGGACGUAGAAAGAAGGUUUGAAGGCUAAUUUGAAAGUGUGAAAUUUGUGAAGGUUGCAUAUGUGAUGAGAAGAAAACGAGAAAUGUUGAAAGAAAGAAAUAAGUUCUAAAGUUAACUAUUUACAAGAAAUAUAAAAGGGCCAGCUUACUCUGGUCAAGAAAGUGAGGCUUCAGUCUCUAAGCCUGGCAGGACAAGGUUGCUGGAUACUUCUUAAGCUAAACCAGAAUAUUCAGCAGCAGAAUUUAAAGAUAAGAGUGUGCAUAAUGCCUCAGACCACCAUCCAGCCUGCUCUUCAGAUUGGCUGAGGUGGCGGGGGGGUGGGGUCUGUACUUAAUGGGUCAAAUGUAUAGGUUUGCUUACUUUGCUUUUCAAUAAAGGAGCAUACUUUAAUUACUUGAUAAGUUAGCUUUUCACAAUAUAAUCAAGGUCUCAUAUAAAUUCAUUCAUGUGAGAAGCCAAUAUUUUAUGAGCAACUGGUUCUAGUAAAGUCCAAAGUAAAAUUUGCAUAUAUAUGCAAAUGAGCACUAGCCAAAAAAGAAUGCUAUUUAGAAGUAAAUUUAAGCUUAAAAAGAAGAAAAAAGAAAAAAAGAAGAAAUGUAGAAAUCUCUUCCACUACUAUUUACCAAGUAAAAUAAAAGUUAUUAUUGAAGCAUUAAAUCUCACCAUUAAUGAGACACCAUAAGUAAAAAGAAAGUUACUUUUACUUGAGAUGUAUGCAUUGUAGUAUUGGCCAACAUGUUUCUCUCCUACCUAUUUUCCUGGACAUCAACUAAGAUGGUUGCUCUGCUUGAAAGAAAGUAAAAGUCUUUAGUGCAGCAAUUUAAGGUUUAAAAGUAAAAACAGCAAGGAUUAAGGUUCAGUAAAAAUAAGAAGUUAAGCCAGUGAGUGGCAGAUUAUCACCUCAGGAAAUUUAAAGUGCCAAAUUUGGCUGGUCUGAGUGCAGUGUCUUACUUCUUAUCCAACCAUCCUGGCCCCUGGCCUCAACUGCUCCUUUCCUUCCUUUUCUGUUUUCCCUUGGAUAACAGCCCAUUCUAGCAUUACCUCCCACUUUCACUGCAAUAAAAUCUCAACCACUCAUCUGUCAGCCCUUAUUGGCAGUGCCAUGGUGACUACCCUCUCAGCUUGGAGUGCAGAACUAGAAAAAGGAACCUCCUACCCUUUAGUCCACCUCUUCCCCUUACAGCUAUCAGCUUGUCUCCAUGAUCAGGGAUUUUUCUUCCUCUGUGGGGAAAACACAUACAUCUGUCUCCCCAUCAGCUGGACAGGAAUCUGUACUCUCAUCUUUCACCCAAUAUAGAUAUAGCCCCCAAUAAUCAGUCUUUACCUGGCCCUGUAACCCAUCAUACCUGACACAAAAGAGGAGUCCAGAUAAUCCCUCUCCUCAUAACCCUGGGCAUCACAGCAGGGGUUGGAACUGCCAUCGGGACUUAACCACUGCUCUACCUAUUUUGAAACCCUGUCUCAGGACCUACAAGAAACCUGUGGAUGCCCAGCGAGGGGCACAACUGGGAAAACAAGAACCUCACCCCCAGGGUAACCUACUCUCCCCUUUCAUAUCACUAGUGAGGCAACGGAGACCCCUACUCUUUCCCCCCUAAAAAUAACAUCUAGAUCUCAGUUGUAUUUCAGCUCCAGGCCCAGAAAAGCAGCAAAAUUACGCAAGUGAUGCUGGGGCGGCCUCAGGACCAGCUUUUACCUCCCAAGUCACUCAACAGGACCACUUUCGAGACUUCACCAACCAGUCUCUUGGGAAAAUCAUGCUUCUGCAACCCUCAUCCAGCCCACUACUCUCAGAGUCCGUUCCCCUGUGAUCUUGAUGUCCCACCUCAGCAGGAAGCAAUUACAGAAGAUAUGACCUUCGUCCCUAUUCCAUAAACAAAAAGGCUGGAAUGUUAGAUUUGAUCGAGCAAUUGAAUUGAUACCCCUCCCCCUAGGAACUGGCUUUCCAGAUCAUUUCACUAUGGACAUUCCCUUUGCUCAGACCACAUUUCACUCGCAGUGACCACAUUUCAUUAUUUCCCCCUCCAGGUAUGCAUAAAGAGGUCUCCACCCAGAAAAAAUCCCGCCAAAAGUCCUUUAAAGGCCUCUGACUCCUGUCACUGGGUGCUGGAGCCAUUCAGGCUCAGCCACCUGGUGUGUGGAUGAUCGAAUAAAUUCGUAAUCCCUCGCCAUUCUGGCCUUGUGUGUUCCUCCUUCGGCGACCUAACAUCUAUGACUAAAGAGGGAGAAGGAUACCGAUUGUGAGCAAGUGAAUGAGAGAGAAACAGAGAGGAAGAGGCAGACUUCUGGGCCACUUUGUUUCCUGCUGAGUGUCUUGGUCACGAGCACCUGGAAGCCCCAGUGAGAGGCUCAGUGCAGAGCACUGCAGGGUCAGCAGCUGAUUUGGAACCUGGCGGGGCCACAUGACCACAGGCCUGUUAAAUGUAAGCCUGCAUUUACCAUCUGAAAACUGGUGACAAGUAAGUCAUGCAGUGAGCAGAUGGGUACAGAGGUCUGCUCGGUGCAGGCACAGUAUUAGUGUCGGGGUCAGAGAGAGGACCGAGUCGCUGUGCGGGACUAGGCCUGCUGCUGUGCUGGUAUCAGGCCCUGAGCAGGACAGCACAGUAGUCAGGACUUCACUCUGGGCCCAAACACAUCCUGGGUUCAAAUUCCAGCUCUGUCACAUUCUGCAGCGUGGUCCAGGUGAAUUGGGGCCAGUUACUAUAGCCUCUAAGUGCCUCAUUUUCCCAGCUGGAAAGCGGGGACCCUGCAAUUCCUAAACUCAUGGGGUAGUUGAGAUUAUUAAAAGGCUGGAUGCAUAUAAAGGGCUUGAGAACAGACACAGGACCUGAUAGGGGGGACCUAUACUCUGAUAGAGCACCUGAAUUAAUCUGAAAAAUAAUAUUAUUUUAAAUCUUAGAACACAUAUACUUAUGUGAAUAGGGGUUAAGUUUCUUAUAUGUGAAUAGGCGGUUAAGUUUUCCUUAAGUUUCCUUUUCAGGGCCUGUGCGAAGCGAUUAAGGAGGUGACUCAGCUGUGAAUCCAGCAAGCAGAACCACUAAGCAGAGUUAGACCCACCCACCAGGAGUCAAACAUCAACUCAUCAACAUCAUCUUAUAGCCUGUAACUGUUGACGAUAGCUGACGUCUUCGGACCUCCAUGACUGCAUGUAGCUGCAUUCCAUACCCCAGUCCACUCCCCUUUAUAAUCCUGUCCCUGAAUCUUUCUGGAA
Myotis daubentonii (Daubenton's bat) is the source of this 5186-nucleotide RNA transcript. It is a transcript of the gene named insulin growth factor-like family member 3, with no coding region annotated. NCBI's taxonomy places the organism in Eukaryota, Metazoa, Chordata, Mammalia, Chiroptera, Vespertilionidae. The record is from RefSeq and is a predicted model, not a curated record. The transcript is spliced from 7 exons.